GGGGCAGUAGCUCAGUGGUUAGAGCAAACGACUCAUAAUCGUUCGGUCGCGGGUUCGAACCCCGCCUGCCCCA
Molecule: transfer RNA, 73 nt
Filed under: Acidimicrobiia bacterium
Lineage: Bacteria; Bacillati; Actinomycetota; Acidimicrobiia
Description: tRNA-Ile
Rfam family: tRNA
About the family: Transfer RNA (tRNA) molecules are approximately 80 nucleotides in length.
Source: RNAcentral